Drosophila yakuba is the source of this 649-nucleotide long non-coding RNA. RefSeq lists it as uncharacterized. The transcript is spliced from 2 exons. Lineage: Eukaryota; Metazoa; Arthropoda; Insecta; Diptera; Drosophilidae. The record is from RefSeq and is a predicted model, not a curated record.
AUUCCAAAUAAUAAUUUCUUAAAAUAAAGUUUAAAUCAAAAUCAUUUGGAUUUAACGUUUGACCUAAGCCUAUUUCUUUUAUUUCACAAAACGCUAAAAUGAAGACUGUAAUUUUUUUCGGUGUAGAUACCCGUAUACACGUUCAUACGAACGUGUACGUUAGCUACAAGUGGACAAAGCCGACUAUAAGUGGCAGAAGAACGAAAACCCGAAAGGAGGACGAAAACAUCAACGCUCCAUGGCUACUUAAACGGCUUAGGUCUGAGAACUUAUGCAACUUGUUAACUAAUUACGUGCACAGCAGCAUAAAGUGGCUUAAAACACACGCACCUGAGGCCACUUAGGCAUCGAACACAGAGGGAAUUUUUCAUAAUGCCCUGGCAAUAGCUCCAAAUUAAGCUGAUAAGACCGAACUGAUAAUUUUAUGGAAAUACGUUAUAAUCUCUCAAGGAUUGUUCACAGCAUGGCCUUCACUCUGUCCUUACAAGAAACAAUUACGUUAUGUUAUGAAAUCCUUAAGUAAAUAUGAUACAUGUUACAAUUUCUCCUUAAAAAAAUCAUUAUUAUUAUCGAGAUGUAUGUGCCAGAAAUUAAUGGAUAGAUUGCCAGCUUUAUUCCAUGAAAUAUAACUGUGUGUUGUGAAUAUGAA